Long non-coding RNA from Lytechinus pictus (painted urchin), 735 nucleotides. RefSeq lists it as uncharacterized. NCBI's taxonomy places the organism in Eukaryota, Metazoa, Echinodermata, Echinoidea, Temnopleuroida, Toxopneustidae. The transcript has 4 exons. The record is from RefSeq and is a predicted model, not a curated record.
ACUCCCAAAGUCGUGAAAAAGAUGUAAAAUUGGUUGAUGUUUUCGCCGCGACGAUUCGAAAUGAAACGAAGAAAUGAGAAGAAGCGAAGGUCCUCGUAGAGGUGAAUGAGGAUUUUACCACUAUGGACAUUUGAACAGUAUGCAGAAGAAGACGGAUCUGGAACUAGAAAGCAAGGCUCUGACUGGUCUACUACAGCAAGGAAUGUGCCAGCGGCCAAUCUGAUGAACAUGUGACAGAAGAUUUGGCAAUGGGUGAAGAAAUACUGAGAUUGAAAUGCAACCACAGGUGGAGGCUUCAACCAAACUUUUCAGACAGACAUGAGAUACAAAGUUACACAAGUAUAAAUGGUUGAAGGUUUAGGAGAGCCAGACAAGAAGGCAGGAAAUGUGAUGUCACUUUUACUUCAAUGAACAUGGACAGCAGCAGGAGCAACAACAGCAUCAGCAGCUGAAACUACAACUGCAGUAAGAGAUGCAACAACCACACCGACAACAUCAACAGCAGCAGGAGCUCCAACAACCAUGCAGGGAACAUCGGGCGCAACAUAAAUAACUUCAUUAAGAGAUGCAACAACCACAGUGGUAAACAUCAACAGCAGUAGCAACAACGACAGUAGAAACAAAGCCAACAGCAAGGAUUCUAACAAGCAAUCAUACAAGCAACAACACAAGCGACAACAUCAAUAGAUGCAUCAGGAGAUGCAACAGCCACACUCGUAAACAGCAGCAGUAGCA